This 86-nucleotide microRNA precursor is filed under the name Bombyx mori (domestic silkworm). RNAcentral's name for it is "mir-2807 microRNA precursor family". It matches the Rfam family "mir-2807 microRNA precursor family". The record is from Rfam by way of RNAcentral. Lineage: Eukaryota; Metazoa; Arthropoda; Insecta; Lepidoptera; Bombycidae.
UUAACUCAAAUUUGUAUAGAGUUGUAACGUUUACCCACGUUUGCCGCUAGGGGCGCUGUUGCAACGGCAUACAAAGUAUUCAACUG